This is a long non-coding RNA of Mauremys mutica (yellowpond turtle), 639 nucleotides long. RefSeq lists it as uncharacterized. NCBI's taxonomy places the organism in Eukaryota, Metazoa, Chordata, Testudines, Geoemydidae. The record is from RefSeq and is a predicted model, not a curated record. The transcript is spliced from 4 exons.
UACAUCCAGAGGGUCUUGUGGUUAAAAUACGUCAGGAGACCUGUGCCCACUUCGCCACAGAACUCCUGUAUAACUUUGGAAAUCUAGCACCAAUGGGCUUGAUCUCAACAGGAACUGAGGAGUUCUGCUCCGACUAACUUCACUGGGAGCUGAAGGUACUCAGCACCUUGCCGGAAGCACCCAGCCCUUCGCAGCAAUAAAGCCAACAACAGGAGGAGAAAUCUAGGUGGAGAUGUUUUACUUCUGUCAUGCAGGCUAAAGACAUUAGAAUACAGCCUCGCUCCCCUGGUUCGGAUCAUCAGAGUACCUGGCACAAUCACGUCGUAAUCCCUGAGUGUGGUUCCCUGGUACUACCACAAUACAGAUAAGUUUUAUUUUGCACCCACAUUCUCGUCAGCUCGGGAUCCCCAAUCAGCUAUCCACACAAAUUAUUCCUGGAAAAAACGAGAGUAUUCUGGACAGCUGGAAAUGAGGACAGCUAGCACCAUGUGACCAACCAACUCUAUACAGACCAUCACCACUGUGACGAACAUGGUAUAAGGAUCUGAACAGAAGGGCUCAACGGACUACCAGUAGUCAACUGUAAUACUAAUAUCAGUGCUAACCCAUAUUUGUAUGGAAUUUUUCAAAAAUUAUUCA